CCUACGGGUGGCAGCCGUGAGGAAUAUUGGUCAAUGGCCGGAAGGCUGAACCAGCCAAGCCGCGUGAAGGACGAAGGUGCCAAGCAUUGUAAACUUCUUUUGUCAAGGGACAAAAUCAGGCUCGAGAGCCUGACCGAGGUUACUUGAAGAAAAAGCAUCGGCUAACUCCGUUCCAGCCGCCGCGGUAAUACGGAGGAUGCGAGUGUUAUCCGGAUUUAUUGGGUUUAAAGUGUACGUAGGCGGGCUGUUAAGUCAGCGGUAAAAGCCCGGGGCUAAACCUCGGCGGGCCGUUGAUACUGGCUGUCUUGAGAUGUCGAGAGGUAUGCAGAAUGCGCAGUGUAGCGGUGAAAUGCGUAGAGAUGGCGAAGAACUCCGAUGGCGAAGGCAGCAUACUGGCGGCGAUCUGACGCUGAGGCACGAAAGCGUGGGUAGCGAACAGGAUUAGAUACCCGAGUAGUC
RNAcentral lists this ribosomal RNA (459 nucleotides) under uncultured bacterium. Its description in RNAcentral is "partial 16S ribosomal RNA". It matches the Rfam family "Bacterial small subunit ribosomal RNA", at positions 338 to 795 of the family's 1533-position model. The record is from RNAcentral.